CCUACGGGGGGCUGCAGUGAGGAAUAUUGGUCAAUGGGCGGGAGCCUGAACCAGCCAAGCCGCGUGAGGGAAGAAGGUACAGCGUAUCGUAAACCUCUUUUGUCAGGGAACAAAGGCGGGGACUAGUCCCCGGAUGAGGGUACCUGAAGAAAAAGCAUCGGCUAACUCCGUGCCAGCAGCCGCGGUAAUACGGAGGAUCCGAGCGUUAUCCGGAUUUAUUGGGUUUAAAGGGAGCGUAGGUGGAUUGUUAAGUCAGUUGUGAAAGUUUGCGGCUCAACCGUAGAAUUGCAGUUGAAACUGGUAGUCUUGAGUACAGUAGAGGUGGGCGGAAUGCGUGGUGUAGCGGUGAAAUGCUUAGAUAUCACGAAGAACACCGAUUGCGAAGGCAGUUGACUGGACUGCAACUGACACUGAGGCUCGAAAGUGUGGGUAUCAAACAGGAUUAGAUACCCUAGUAGUC
RNAcentral lists this ribosomal RNA (460 nucleotides) under uncultured bacterium. Its description in RNAcentral is "partial 16S ribosomal RNA". It matches the Rfam family "Bacterial small subunit ribosomal RNA", at positions 338 to 795 of the family's 1533-position model. The record is from RNAcentral.